Molecule: non-coding RNA, 80 nt
Organism: Bacteroidetes bacterium GWE2_42_42
Lineage: Bacteria; Pseudomonadati; Bacteroidota
Source: Rfam
AACAAGUGGAGCCCAGAUUCCACUCCGCCAAGGCGGGAAAAAACGGGGCGGAUCCGAAAAGCCAAAUGAGUAGGAAAAUU